AGCGUACACGGUGGAUGCCCUGGCAGUCAGAGGCGAUGAAGGACGUGCUAAUCUGCGAAAAGCGCCGGUAAGGUGAUAUGAACCGUUAUAACCGGCGAUGUCCGAAUGGGGAAACCCAGUGUGUUUCGACACACUAUCAUUAACUGAAUCCAUAGGUUAAUGAGGCGAACCGGGGGAACUGAAACAUCUAAGUACCCCGAGGAAAAGAAAUCAACCGAGAUUCCCCCAGUAGCGGCGAGCGAACGGGGAGGAGCCCAGAGCCUGAAUCAGCAUGUGUGUUAGUGGAAGCGUCUGGAAAGGCGCGCGAUACAGGGUGACAGCCCCGUACACAAAAGCGCACGUGCUGUGAGCUCGAUGAGUAGGGCGGGACACGUGGUAUCCUGUCUGAAUAUGGGGGGACCAUCCUCCAAGGCUAAAUACUCCUGACUGACCGAUAGUGAACCAGUACCGUGAGGGAAAGGCGAAAAGAACCCCGGCGAGGGGAGUGAAACAGAACCUGAAACCGUGUACGUACAAGCAGUGGGAGCACAGGUUUACCUGUGUGACUGCGUACCUUUUGUAUAAUGGGUCAGCGACUUAUAUUCUGUAGCAAGGUUAACCGAAUAGGGGAGCCGGAGGGAAACCGAGUCUUAAUUGGGCGUUAAGUUGCAGGGUAUAGACCCGAAACCCGGUGAUCUAGCCAUGGGCAGGUUGAAGGUUGGGUAACACUAACUGGAGGACCGAACCGACUAAUGUUGAAAAAUUAGCGGAUGACCUGUGGCUGGGGGUGAAAGGCCAAUCAAACCGGGAGAUAGCUGGUUCUCCCCGAAAGCUAUUUAGGUAGCGCCUCGUGAAUUCAUCUCCGGGGGUAGAGCACUGUUUCGGCUAGGGGGCCAUCCCGGCUUACCAACCCGAUGCAAACUGCGAAUACCGGAGAAUGUUAUCACGGGAGACACACGGCGGGUGCUAACGUCCGUCGUGAAGAGGGAAACAACCCAGACCGCCAGCUAAGGUCCCAAAGUCAUGGUUAAGUGGGAAACGAUGUGGGAAGGCCCAGACAGCCAGGAUGUUGGCUUAGAAGCAGCCAUCAUUUAAAGAAAGCGUAAUAGCUCACUGGUCGAGUCGGCCUGCGCGGAAGAUGUAACGGGGCUAAACCAUGCACCGAAGCUGCGGCAGCGAACGUAUCACCCAAGACAACUUUACGGAGUUGACGAUUGACGGAGCGAAGCGACGUCAAAGCGUUCAUUAAAGUCGAGUUGGCUUAGGGAUACGUUCGUUGGGUAGGGGAGCGUUCUGUAAGCCGUUGAAGGUGUGCUGUGAGGCAUGCUGGAGGUAUCAGAAGUGCGAAUGCUGACAUAAGUAACGAUAAAGCGGGUGAAAAGCCCGCUCGCCGGAAGACCAAGGGUUCCUGUCCAACGUUAAUCGGGGCAGGGUGAGUCGACCCCUAAGGCGAGGCCGAAAGGCGUAGUCGAUGGGAAACGGGUUAAUAUUCCCGUACUUGGUGUUACUGCGAAGGGGGGACGGAGAAGGCUAUGUUGGCCGGGCGACGGUUGUCCCGGUUUAAGCGUGUAGGCUGGUUUUCCAGGCAAAUCCGGAAAAUCAAGGCUGAGGCGUGACGACGAGGCACCACGGUGCUGAAGCAACAAAUGCCCUGCUUCCAGGAAAAGCCUCUAAGCUCCAGGUAACACGAAAUCGUACCCCAAACCGACACAGGUGGUCAGGUAGAGAAUACCAAGGCGCUUGAGAGAACUCGGGUGAAGGAACUAGGCAAAAUGGUGCCGUAACUUCGGGAGAAGGCACGCUGACACGUAGGUGAAGUGAUUUACUCAUGGAGCUGAAGUCAGUCGAAGAUACCAGCUGGCUGCAACUGUUUAUUAAAAACACAGCACUGUGCAAACACGAAAGUGGACGUAUACGGUGUGACGCCUGCCCGGUGCCGGAAGGUUAAUUGAUGGGGUUAUCCUCGCGGAGAAGCUCCUGAUCGAAGCCCCGGUAAACGGCGGCCGUAACUAUAACGGUCCUAAGGUAGCGAAAUUCCUUGUCGGGUAAGUUCCGACCUGCACGAAUGGCGUAAUGAUGGCCAGGCUGUCUCCACCCGAGACUCAGUGAAAUUGAACUCGCUGUGAAGAUGCAGUGUACCCGCGGCAAGACGGAAAGACCCCGUGAACCUUUACUAUAGCUUGACACUGAACAUUGAGCCUUGAUGUGUAGGAUAGGUGGGAGGCUUUGAAGCGUGGACGCCAGUCUGCGUGGAGCCAACCUUGAAAUACCACCCUUUAAUGUUUGAUGUUCUAACGUGGACCCGUUACCCGGGUUGCGGACAGUGUCUGGUGGGUAGUUUGACUGGGGCGGUCUCCUCCCAAAGAGUAACGGAGGAGCACGAAGGUUGGCUAAUCCUGGUCGGACAUCAGGAGGUUAGUGCAAUGGCAUAAGCCAGCUUGACUGCGAGCGUGACGGCGCGAGCAGGUGCGAAAGCAGGUCAUAGUGAUCCGGUGGUUCUGAAUGGAAGGGCCAUCGCUCAACGGAUAAAAGGUACUCCGGGGAUAACAGGCUGAUACCGCCCAAGAGUUCAUAUCGACGGCGGUGUUUGGCACCUCGAUGUCGGCUCAUCACAUCCUGGGGCUGAAGUAGGUCCCAAGGGUAUGGCUGUUCGCCAUUUAAAGUGGUACGCGAGCUGGGUUUAGAACGUCGUGAGACAGUUCGGUCCCUAUCUGCCGUGGGCGCUGGAGAACUGAGGGGGGCUGCUCCUAGUACGAGAGGACCGGAGUGGACGCAUCACUGGUGUUCGGGUUGUCAUGCCAAUGGCACUGCCCGGUAGCUAAAUGCGGAAGAGAUAAGUGCUGAAAGCAUCUAAGCACGAAACUUGCCCCGAGAUGAGUUCU
RNAcentral lists this ribosomal RNA (2861 nucleotides) under Salmonella enterica. Its description in RNAcentral is "bacterial LSU rRNA". It matches the Rfam family "Bacterial large subunit ribosomal RNA". The record is from RNAcentral. Lineage: Bacteria; Pseudomonadati; Pseudomonadota; Gammaproteobacteria; Enterobacterales; Enterobacteriaceae.